Molecule: microRNA precursor, 99 nt
Filed under: Trifolium pratense (red clover)
Lineage: Eukaryota; Viridiplantae; Streptophyta; Magnoliopsida; Fabales; Fabaceae
Description: pre miRNA MIR2118
Source: RNAcentral
AUAGGGAAGAGAGAAAAACACGAAAAUCGAUGAAUGAAUUUAGACAAAGUUUAGUCUAAAUUUAUUCAUCGAUUUUCGUUUUUUUCUCUCCUUUAUUUC